GCAGAAGUCCGGGGCUGGCAAGCGCUUCCUGCGCAGCGCCUAGGCGACCUGGAGUUUGUGACGCUGUGAUGGUCUAGAGGCUGGAGAUUCAAGAUCUGGGUGCCAUCAUUUUCUGGUUCUGUUGAUGACCCUCUUCCAGCAAUUCCCUUGACUGAAGACGUUCUCAUAACAUUAGGAAAAGAAGAGUUCCAAAAGCUGAGACAAGAUCUUGAAAUGGUACUGUCCACUAAGGAGUCAAAGAAUGAAAAGUUAAAGGAAGACUUAGAAAGAUAUUGCUUGUAUUGUUUUUCCAUGUCGAAAGGGAACAACGGUGGUUGGAUGAACAGCAACAGAUAAUGGAAUCUCUUAAUGUACUACACAGUGAAUUGAAAAAUAAGGUUGAAACAUUUUCUGAAUCAAGAAUCUUUAAUGAACUGAAAACUAAAAUGCUUAAUAUAAAAGAAUAUAAGGAGAAACUCUUGAGUACCUUGGGCGAGUUUCUAGAAGACCAUUUUCCUCUGCCUGAUAGAAGUGUUAAAAAGAAAAAGAAAAACAUUCAAGAAUCAUCUGUAAACCUGAUAACACUGCAUGAAAUGUUAGAGAUUCUUAUAAAUAGAUUAUUUGAUGUUCCACAUGAUCCAUAUGUCAAAAUUAGUGAUUCCUUUUGGCCACCUUAUGU
Molecule: long non-coding RNA, 658 nt
Filed under: Homo sapiens (human)
Lineage: Eukaryota; Metazoa; Chordata; Mammalia; Primates; Hominidae
Description: non-protein coding lnc-TRIM23-2:1
Source: RNAcentral